RNAcentral lists this ribosomal RNA (2880 nucleotides) under Stenotrophomonas maltophilia. RNAcentral describes it as "23S ribosomal RNA". It matches the Rfam family "Bacterial large subunit ribosomal RNA". Lineage: Bacteria; Pseudomonadati; Pseudomonadota; Gammaproteobacteria; Lysobacterales; Lysobacteraceae. The record is from RNAcentral. RNAcentral also lists the same sequence under 1 other name.
GGUCAAGCGAAUAAGCGCACACGGUGGAUGCCUUGGCGGUCAGAGGCGAUGAAGGACGUGGCAGCCUGCGAAAAGUAUCGGGGAGCUGGCAACAAGCUUUGAUCCGGUAAUGUCCGAAUGGGGAAACCCACCCGCUUGCGGGUAUCCUGCAGUGAAUACAUAGCUGCUGGAAGCGAACCUGGUGAACUGAAAUAUCUAAGUAACCAGAGGAAAAGAAAUCAACCGAGAUUCCGUAAGUAGCGACGAGCGAACGCGGACUAGCCCUUAAGCUGAUUUGGUUCUAGGAAAACGCUCUGGAAAGAGCGGCCAUAGAAGGUGAUAGCCCUGUAUCUGAAAGGGCCAUUUCAGUGAAGACGAGUAGGGCGGGGCACGUGAAACCCUGUCUGAACAUGGGGGGACCAUCCUCCAAGGCUAAAUACUACUGACCGACCGAUAGUGAACCAGUACCGUGAGGGAAAGGCGAAAAGAACCCCGGAGAGGGGAGUGAAAUAGAACCUGAAACCGUGUGCGUACAAGCAGUAGGAGCUCCGCAAGGAGUGACUGCGUACCUUUUGUAUAAUGGGUCAGCGACUUACUGUUCGUGGCAAGCUUAACCGUAUAGGGGAGGCGAAGGGAAACCGAGUCUGAUAAGGGCGCAUAGUCGCGGGCAGUAGACCCGAAACCGGGUGAUCUAGUCAUGCCCAGGGUGAAGGUGCGGUAACACGCACUGGAGGCCCGAACCCACUCCCGUUGCAAAGGUAGGGGAUGAGGUGUGAUUAGGAGUGAAAAGCUAAUCGAACCCGGAGAUAGCUGGUUCUCCUCGAAAGCUAUUUAGGUAGCGCCUCAUAUGUAUCCUCUCGGGGGUAGAGCACUGUUAUGGCUAGGGGGUCAUCGCGACUUACCAAACCAUUGCAAACUCCGAAUACCGAGACGGACUGUAUGGGAGACACACGGCGGGUGCUAACGUCCGUCGUGAAAAGGGAAACAACCCAGACCCACAGCUAAGGUCCCAAAUUCACUGCUAAGUGGAAAACCAUGUGGAAAGGCACAGACAGCCAGGAGGUUGGCUUAGAAGCAGCCACCCUUUAAAGAAAGCGUAAUAGCUCACUGGUCGAGUCGGUCUGCGGGGAAGAUUUAACGGGGCUAAGCAGUGAACCGAAGCUUGGGGUGCAUAACUUUGUUAUGCGCGGUAGAGGAGCGUUCCGUAAGCCGUUGAAGGUGGAUUGAGAAGUCUGCUGGAGGUAUCGGAAGUGCGAAUGCUGACAUGAGUAACGAUAAUGCGGGUGAAAAACCCGCACGCCGAAAGCCCAAGGUUUCCUUGCGCAACGUUAAUCGGCGCAGGGUGAGUCGGCCCCUAAGGCGAGGACGAAAGUCGUAGUCGAUGGGAAGCAGGUUAAUAUUCCUGCACCUCGCGUAAGUGCGAUGGAGGGACGGAGAAGGUUAGGUGUACCAGGCGUUGGUUGUCCUGGGGAAAGGCGGUAGGUUUGGAUCUUUGGCAAAUCCGGGAUCCUUUAAGACCGAGCACCGAGACGAGCCUUUAUGGCGAAGUCACUGAUACCACGCUUCCAGGAAAAGCUCCUAAGCUUCAGCUUACGCAGACCGUACCGUAAACCGACACAGGUGGGUAGGAUGAGAAUUCUCAGGCGCUUGAGAGAACUCGGGUGAAGGAACUAGGCAACAUGGCACCGUAACUUCGGGAGAAGGUGCACCCUUUUUGGUGGCUCGUGCGAGCUAUAGCUGAAGAGGGUCGCAGUAACCAGGCCGCUGCGACUGUUUAUCAAAAACACAGCACUCUGCAAACACGAAAGUGGACGUAUAGGGUGUGACGCCUGCCCGGUGCUGGAAGGUUAAUUGAUGGGGUCAGCCGCAAGGCGAAGCUCUUGAUCGAAGCCCCAGUAAACGGCGGCCGUAACUAUAACGGUCCUAAGGUAGCGAAAUUCCUUGUCGGGUAAGUUCCGACCUGCACGAAUGGCGUAACGACAGCGGCGCUGUCUCCACCCGAGACUCAGUGAAAUUGAAAUCGCUGUGAAGAUGCAGCGUUCCCGUGGCAAGACGGAAAGACCCCGUGAACCUUUACUAUAGCUUUACACUGAACGUUGAGUUCGUCUGUGUAGGAUAGGUGGGAGGCUAUGAAACUGUGGCGCUAGCUGCAGUGGAGCCAUCCUUGAAAUACCACCCUGUCGUGCUUGACGUUCUAACCUGGGCCCAUUAUCUGGGUCGGGGACCGUGUAUGGUGGGUAGUUUGACUGGGGCGGUCUCCUCCUAAAGAGUAACGGAGGAGCUCGAAGGUACGCUCAGCGCGGUCGGACAUCGCGCACUGUGUGCAAAGGCAUAAGCGUGCUUGACUGCAAGAUCGACGGAUCAAGCAGGUAGGAAACUAGGACUUAGUGAUCCGGUGGUUCUGUAUGGAAGGGCCAUCGCUCAACGGAUAAAAGGUACUCCGGGGAUAACAGGCUGAUACCGCCCAAGAGUUCAUAUCGACGGCGGUGUUUGGCACCUCGAUGUCGGCUCAUCACAUCCUGGGGCUGUAGUCGGUCCCAAGGGUAUGGCUGUUCGCCAUUUAAAGUGGUACGCGAGCUGGGUUCAGAACGUCGUGAGACAGUUCGGUCCCUAUCUGCCAUGGGCGUUGGAGAUUUGAGAGGGGCUGCUCCUAGUACGAGAGGACCGGAGUGGACGAACCUCUGGUGUUCCGGUUGUCACGCCAGUGGCAUUGCCGGGUAGCUAUGUUCGGAAGCGAUAACCGCUGAAAGCAUCUAAGCGGGAAGCGCGCCUCAAGAUGAGAUCUCCCGGGGCACAAGCCCCCUGAAGGAACCAUGUAGACUACGUGGUUGAUAGGUCAGGUGUGUAAGUACAGCAAUGUAUUGAGCUAACUGAUACUAAUGAUCCGUGCGGCUUGACCAU